GCUGAAUCUUGACUGUGUUUGGGGGUCAUUCUUCCCAAGUGGCUUGGCAACCCUUGUAUCCCUAGCUACAUCCUUUCAAAAUGAAAUUGAGGGCUUCUUGAUACAAUACAAUCCUUAAUAUGUUGUUUCAUAAAUAAAUCUGCCUAAUAAUUGCAUUAAGGAUUUCUACCUGACAACACAAUCUUUGGAUGUUUACUCAGAAGUGAGUCCCAAUUCAGUUACAGCACAGUCCUAACCAUGUUUAAAGGUAAAGGGACCCCUGACCAUUAGGUCCAGUCGUGGCCGACUCUGGGAUUGCAGCGCUCAUCUUGCUUUAUUGGCCGAGGGAGCCGACGUACAGCUUCUGGGUCAUGUGGCCAGCAUGACUAAGCUGCUUCUGGCGAACCAGAGCAGCGCACGGAAACGUCGUUUACCUUCCCGCUGGAGCAGUAUCUAUUUAUCUCCUUGCACUUUUGACGUGCUUUUGAACUGCUAGGUUGGCAGGAGCAGGGACCGAGCAAUGGGAGCUCACCCCAUCGCGGGGAUUCGAACCGCCGACCUUCUGAUUGGCAAGUUCUAGGCUCUGUGGUUUAACCCACAGUGCCACCCGUCUUUGAAACCAUGUUUACUCAACAAUAAAUUCCUUUGACAUCAACGGGAGUUAUUCCUAGAAACAUAGAGUAAGGAUUUCAGCCUUACCCAGGACUAAGCCUCACUAAAUUCACUGGGUCUUACUUCUGAGUAGACAUACGCAUAUAGUCUUGCAUUGUAUGCAUUCUAAGACUUUUUUUUUUGUACCUGUAAUUUUUUACUCUUUGUAAUAGGGUGGCUUGGGGCAAAUAAAUGCUAAGGCUUCUGUGAUGUUAAUAGCUGAAUGUGGAAGAGAGAUGUAGCUUGAAUGACAAGCUGCACCUUCUGCAAUUCCCUCUGCUAUGCGCUGUUGACUUUGCAAGAGCUCUGACCUUAGUAACACACAUCGUGUUAGGGUGCCACAGCUCACCUGACCUUUGCUGCUGCUUACCAGGAGGCCAAGAGGGCGAGAUGGUAAGGAUGUUGGUGCAGAACAAAUGCACCAGUAGGAAUGCCAGAUUUACUUUGCUGGUGCAUUUGCACCAUGCUGACCUUGUUGCUGCCUCAUCAUUCCCCCUUCUCUCCUGGAAAACAGCAGUGGCACAACUGAUUGGAGCUCAGAUGAGUGGGGCAGCCUCACCCCACCACCCGCUAAUGCUGUCCUCUUCUGUAUCUGGUUACUCUUUUAUGAUAUAAACAACAAGGCAUUCGAGCCAAUGGGAGGAUAAUUAAAUCACCCAUUAACUCAACAUUUUCUCCUUGGGAUACCGUGCUACCUGCUCUGCCCUUCCCCUAGAUUCAAUAGCAAGAGAUAACUGUACAUCUUGUCGAUGAUCACUGCACCAUCAGGUUUCUAGUAUUGCUACUCGAUAUCUGUGUUCUCCUCUAAUGCCAGGCACUCUGACUCAGGAGCCUUGGAUCUGAGGCUUCUUUGAAGUUCAUAUGCUUUUAACAGCCCUGCAGGAUUGUUCAUCUAAUCAAGAGAGACCACUAACUUGUCCAACUUGCAUACGCUGCAGUAAGUGGAUAGAUGCUGAACUGGUAAUAUGUGCAGGCAGUUAUUAAAAGCACUUCCCACAAGUGAGUUGGGCAGUCGCCUUCAUUCUCUUGUCCCCUCCAUCUCUGUCAUAAAAUUCUUUUAACUCUGUGUGUGGGCCUUUUCAGGUGUGUGUGUGUGUGUGUGUGUGUGUUUUGCUGCCCUUUCACUUAUUUUGUGGCUGCUCCUCUUGUGAGUUGGUUGUCCUAUUGCACCCCAACACAUGCCUUUGACUGAGUAGCAGCUUGCCGAAUUCUAAUCUACGUACAGUGCAAGCACUUUUAAUUUAUAGAGAAAGUGGAUACAUAGGCCACUCUCAUGUCUAGCCAUCCACUGAAUCUGGAUGUUGGAAGAUUUAGGACAGACAAAAGAAAGUACUUAUUCACACAGCACAUUGUUGAACUAUGGGAUUUGCUCCCACUAGAUGCAGCAAUGUCCAUCCGCUUAGCUCACGUCCAAUACCAUUUAUCUAAAGUACAUGGGCUCCUCCAAAGAAUCAUGGGGAUUAUAGUUCACACCUCACAAUUCCCACUACCCUUACCAAAUUGCAGUUCCCAGGAUUCUUUGGGGGGAAGCCAUGGUGUGGGUGUGACCUUGGGUGACUUAAAGGGGGAUUCAACAAAUUCAUGGAGGAUAAGGCUACUAGUCAUGGUGACUAUGUUCUGCCUCUACUAUCUGAGGCCAUAUGCCUUUGAGUACGAGUUGCCUGGAGAUAUAAGUGCAGAGAGUUCUCUUGCACUCAGGUCCUGGUUGUGGGCUUACGUUCUUAAGAUUAGUAGAUUGCAACUUGUAUCAUUUUGGUGCCAAAUAAAGACAUAUCUGUUUACCCAACCACAUGUAGGAUAUUAGAGUCUUUAUUUAUUGAGCAAGAGUAGCUAGCCUUGUGGUUUUUCAAUAACCUUUAUAGUUCUAAUGUUGUAUGUUAAACUGCUCUAAUUGUUUAUGUUGAUUUAUACUUUGGAUUGUUUUUCAGCUGGUUUUAUGCCACUUGUGUCCUCUGAUGUGCAUUGAACCCCGCCUGGGCACUAUUGUGAUGGAGGUCUGGCUGGAUAAAAAUAUCCUUAAUAAGCACUAAGCCAGCAUGUUUUUCUUCGGGUGUGUGCAUUUUUUGUGGGCCCAAUCAGCACUUUUUCCUCACUGAUCUUAUCUCUCAGGCUUCCCUUCUAAUUACCUUAUUUUGUAUGAAUGAAGCACUGAAUGUGGAAUAACAUCCACGCCUUCCGACACUUCCUCCUCUAACCAACCUGAAAAGAACUAUAGAAACUGAUUUGAAAUGGCUCUCAUUAAAAGCUUUCCCAGGAUGUUUGUUCUGCUUUUCUUUUGACUACUAUCUCACCUUUUAAUCUCUUCUUGGCCACUCCUGUACCUGGAUUGUAAAAGCAAACAUCUAUUGUCCCUAUAGCCAUAAUGAAUCUCCAGAAUCACUUUCUUAGAAGUGCUUCCUCCUUUUAAGUCUCUUUUAGGUCAGUUAUCUUAAUUAUUCCCCUGUCCCCUGUGAUUUUGUGUCUUUGACCAUAUCAGCUGUCUGCAGUUAGCAAGCAGCGCUUUGUUGUAAUUUUGUUUUCCUUAGGAACAUUGGGAGUUGGGGCAGGCAGAAGAGGGUUUGCUCUCAUUUCCUAUGAUGCGGAUCAGGCUGAUGCCGUGGGCUGUAGUUGAUGGGUGUUUACAUCUGUUUCAGCCAGAGCAGAAUUGUUCCCUUGUGUAUCUUCUAGCCAGACAGAAAGCCACCCACAUCUGCCAUUACAAAGUGUGUAGGAAAGUGCCUUGGUGUGAGAGUAAGGCAUACCAGGAAAUAAAUAAAUACCCAUUGGAGUUCAAUGACUGGGCACUGUAAAUACGCAUACACUUAGGUUGUAGAGGCACUGUCUAUUUCACACUUCCUGUUAUUAUGUAGUACAGAACUUUGUUGAAUAAGGAAACAGUGGGGGAUAUAGAAUAUCUCAUGUUAUUAUAACCACUAGACUUGCCAACACAGUGGUGUGCUACUUCACAUUUGAUCAUGGAGGGUGAUGUGAAAUAAAAGGUCCUCUGAGCUCAGCUGCAUCAUGAGUCAACAAAUACUUCCACCUAUGAAGGGUUAUUUGGCCAAGAGUUUGCAACCUAUUAGAGGUACCUGCAGGCAAAGAAAUAUGUUUAGUGAAGCUCCUUUGGGAGAUCUGGACAAAUAGCCUACUAACAAGAGCUGGAAUCCCCUCUGGUUUGCUUACCACCUGAUUAAAAAUCCAUGCCCAGAUUCACUCACUGCUCUGGGGCCAGGUGGAUGGGAGAAAACUAUUUCAUACUUUGUUUAGCCCAUUGUCUCACAGUGAUACUAGGUUUAGAACAAAGGUGUUCCAAAGGCAGAAAAAUCAACACUGAGCAGGGAGCAGCUUGCAUAUUUUACAAAGCUACUCUUCUAUAUUUUAGACCCCAAUCACCACCCUCGGAUUCCAGAACUGCUGUACCUGUACUUUCACCAUAGUCUCCAGUUUGGGCAUCCCUGAUGUCUAUAGUCCUAUUCCAUCCAUGCCUACACAUCUCCAUGGCAUGUAGGUUUCCAUUAUUGCCUAAAUAUACUGUGUGUAAGAUGGAGUGAAUUGAGGCCCAUCUUUGGAGAGCUACAGAGACUCAGGAUUAGGUAGGUGACUUUGCUGUCACUUGGAAAGGCCUUGCCUUAACAGUGUUAUCCUGGCAGAAGGUAGACUGCUGGACUUCUCAAUGAGAUUGUCCUAAAAAUCCCUGGGCAGCUGUGUCGGUUGUGAUGGGGUAAUGGGGCGUUGCUUCGCCCUGACUUUCACCUCUUUCCUUUGCCUCGUAAUUCCUUUGGGUCUAGCAAACAGUGGAAGGAGCACAUGUAGUAAUGGAGCAUCUCAGAAGGCACAGUUGUCCUGUAUGCUGGUGGAGGAAAAUCUACUGCCUUCUGCCAUGUGCUGUCCUAAACUGCCACCUUGGGGUCAACAUGUACUGAGUUCAGCCUGGCAGCAUCUCUU
Molecule: non-coding RNA, 4554 nt
Organism: Podarcis lilfordi (Lilford's wall lizard)
Lineage: Eukaryota; Metazoa; Chordata; Lepidosauria; Squamata; Lacertidae
Source: the annotation of a GenBank genome assembly